AAGCCUGAUGCAGCAACGCCGCGUGAGGGAUGACGGCCUUCGGGUUGUAAACCUCUUUUGGUAGGGAAGAAGCCUUCGGGUGACGGUACCUGCAGAAAAAGCGCCGGCUAACUACGUGCCAGCAGCCGCGGUAAUACGUAGGGCGCAAGCGUUAUCCGGAAUUAUUGGGCGUAAAGAGCUCGUAGGCGGUCUGUCGCGUCUGCUGUGAAAUUCCGAGGCUCAACCUCGGGCUUGCAGUGGGUACGGGCAGACUAGAGUGCGGUAGGGGAGAUUGGAAUUCCUGGUGUAGCGGUGGAAUGCGCAGAUAUCAGGAGGAACACCGAUGGCGAAGGCAGAUCUCUGGGCCGUUACUGACGCUGAGGAGCGAAAGGGUGGGGAGCAAACAGGCUUAGAUACCCUGGUAGUCCACCCCGUAAACGUUGGGAACUAGUUGUGGGGUCCUUUCCACGGAUUCCGUGACGUAGCUAACGCAUUAAGUUCCCCGCCUGGGGAGUACGGCCGCAAGGCUAAAACUCAAAGGAAUUGACGGGGACCCGCACAAGCGGCGGAGCAUGCGGAUUAAUUCGAUGCAACGCGAAGAACCUUACCAAGGCUUGACAUACACCAGAACGGGCCAGAAAUGGUCAACUCUUUGGACACUGGUGAACAGGUGGUGCAUGGUUGUCGUCAGCUCGUGUCGUGAGAUGUUGGGUUAAGUCCCGCAACGAGCGCAACCCUCGUUCUAUGUUGCCAGCACGUAAUGGUGGGAACUCAUGGGAUACUGCCGGGGUCAACUCGGAGGAAGGUGGGGAUGACGUCAAAUCAUCAUGCCCCUUAUGUCUUGGGCUUCACGCAUGCUACAAUGGCCGGUACAAUGGGCUGCGAUACCGCGAGGUGGAGCGAAUCCCAAAAAGCCGGUCCCAGUUCGGAUUGAGGUCUGCAACUCGACCUCAUGAAGUCGGAGUCGCUAGUAAUCGCAGAUCAGCAACGCUGCGGUGAAUACGUUCCCGGGUCUUGUACACACCGCCCGUCAAGUCAUGAAAGUCGGUAACACCUGAAGCCGGUGGCCUAACCCUUGUGGAGGGAGCCGUCGAAGGUGGGAUCGGUAAUUAGGACUAAGUCGUAACAAGGUAGCCGUACCGGAAGGUGCGGCUG
RNAcentral lists this ribosomal RNA (1134 nucleotides) under marine metagenome. RNAcentral describes it as "bacterial SSU rRNA". It matches the Rfam family "Bacterial small subunit ribosomal RNA", at positions 379 to 1520 of the family's 1533-position model. The record is from RNAcentral.